This 251-nucleotide long non-coding RNA is filed under the name Ananas comosus (pineapple). Its description in RNAcentral is "long non-coding RNA (ACOM_LNC007381)". Lineage: Eukaryota; Viridiplantae; Streptophyta; Magnoliopsida; Poales; Bromeliaceae. The record is from RNAcentral.
UUCAAAAAGUUUCCCUUUAAUUUUUUGUGACUUAAUUUUUAUUUCAGCAAAAUAUUCUAUAUGAAUUAGAGUGACAAAGUAAAAAUUUUUAAUAAACCACAGAAUAACAAAGUAAAAUAUGUGCUAAAUCACAAAGGACAAAAUGCAACAUUUUGAACCAUAGAAUGGUAAAAUAAAAAUAAGCUAAACUACAAAGAGGAAAAGUGAAACCUUUUAAACCGCAGGAUCACAAACUAAGAGUGCAUAUAAAG